CGGGCAGCUCAGCAGCCACAAGGUCAUGGCUGGGUUUGGCAUGAAAUGCUCACACUCGGAGUGAAAAUAGGCCUCUGAAGAAGGAUGAAGCAACAGCCAAGAAAGAACCACUUUGCAAACAGACUUCCGAGGAGAAUGAGCCUCUUGAAAUCCUCUGUGCAAAAGUUCACACCAUAAAACAGCUGCUGCUUAAUGUCUCCGGCUUCUAAUGAGCCCCGAGCUCCCGGUUUGCACAGAACUUCCUGGCGAAUGGUGUCCAAGGUCCUUUGCUCUUCCCCGCGCCGUUCAAUCCCCAGAGAAGCAGGAGGUGGCAGCAUGAGAAGUCAUUCCUCCAAGGCGAAUCGUGCUGGCUGGCUGGCUUUCUGCACUCCCACAUAACUGACCACGGUCCUUUCUGAUUCACCCAUGGAGCACAAGGACAGAAGCCAAAGGGUUUGUCUCUGCUUCCUGGGAUGUUGAUUCCUGCCCUGAUGGAGCCCAGGAGAUUUACGCCUCCUCCCCACCCAUCCUCACCCUCACGUCCAACUACCCCACCCUCCUUCCCCAGUGUUUCUGAGCUCUAAGGCACACAGGGCUGCAUUACAAAAGUACUCAACUAAAAGGUGUAUAUUUUGCAUCCCACACCUUCCAAGAAUAUGCUGAAACUCCUCUCCACAAAAAGACACAGCUGUGGUCAACAGUCCCUAGGCUCCCCAAAACAGCAUGUCCUCCACACUCAGCAACCAGGCCUCUGCUUUCUCUUCUGGAGUGGGAAGGAAGGAAAGGAAUAUGAGAAGGCAGGGUAGAAGAGCUGUAGCCCACCCCUACUCAGCCGGCUGGAAAGCUCCAAUUUGUUAACCUAGAAAACCCUGGGGCAUUGCAAUCAAAGAGUGGCUCCACCCAAGCAAAUAACUCGGAUUAUUUUUUUCCCUACUAGUGGGCAAGAAGAGAAAAGGGAAAAUAAGGACAAAUGUGUUCAAAACAGAAAUACUGCAUAACACUAACUUGGCUUUGGGCAAGGACCAGAUUAUAGGCCCAACACCUCCAUUUCUGUCCAAGUGGAAAGAGAAACUACAGGGUGCAACCUUAAUCCAGCUGCAUGAACUCUGUUGCCCAGAGACUCUGCCAGCCCAAGAAGAUCAACAUAAC
This 1128-nucleotide long non-coding RNA is filed under the name Homo sapiens (human). Its description in RNAcentral is "HSALNT0102417". The record is from RNAcentral. Lineage: Eukaryota; Metazoa; Chordata; Mammalia; Primates; Hominidae.